CUACCCUAUUUUAUCGGACUCUCAUUCCCCUUUAACUGCUCCCCACAUCCCUUUUUUAAAGGAAGUCCCUCAACCCCCAGACAGAUUCUACGUACAUUUGAACACUAUCAGGCAGAGCAACAAAAAAUAGAGAAAAGAGGAAGAAGGAAAAAUAGAGAGAGAAACAAAAACCAAAAACAGAGAAGAAAAAUAAAGGAGCGAAAGAGUUGUGAUUCGAGUUUCAAAGUUCAGCUUGAAACAGAUUAAUUCAUUACAGGAGCCUCCUGAAUAAUGGGACUUUUCUUUUCUAGUUCACCUUUUUCUUUGAGUUCAAGAACAUGUUUGAAAAAUCAGAAACAACAAGUCAGGAGCCCACUUGAAAAAUAGGGUGAAGAAAUAGCAAGUCAGGAGCCCGCUUGAAGAACAGGGUGAAUAACUAGCAAGUCUGUAGCCUGCCUGGAGAAUAGGAUGAACAUUAUCAAUUGCAAGUUCAGAAGCCCACCUGAAUAAUAGGAUGAAGAUUUUCAAGUUCAAGUCAGAGGAGAGUCUGAAGAAUGAGUCAAUUGUUGAAUUCCUUUCCAAUGCCAAGAGCCAACAUGAAGAACAAUUCAUUUUUUCAAGAUUAAACUCAUAAUAAUGACUUUCUCACCAUUUGAGAAGUCAUGAAAAUUCAAGUCAAGAUUCUAGAAAAGUUGUGCAAUACAUAGGAUCUUUCACUUGUA
Long non-coding RNA from Capsicum annuum, 701 nucleotides. RefSeq lists it as uncharacterized. The record is from RefSeq and is a predicted model, not a curated record. Lineage: Eukaryota; Viridiplantae; Streptophyta; Magnoliopsida; Solanales; Solanaceae. The transcript has 2 exons.